This is an RNA transcript of Homarus americanus (American lobster), 1011 nucleotides long. RefSeq lists it as uncharacterized. Lineage: Eukaryota; Metazoa; Arthropoda; Malacostraca; Decapoda; Nephropidae. The transcript is spliced from 5 exons. The record is from RefSeq and is a predicted model, not a curated record.
UGGACCUUUAAGGCCGAGCGGCUGCGUACUAUCGCCAUUUGCGUUAACAGCUGAUCGUUGGUGUACGUGCUGUCGGUUCCUUCUUCUUAUUAGUGAAAUACAUAUUUGUAAACCCUAAAUUAUCGUCUACAGUUUGGGCUUAUGUCGUCGUAGUGUUAAGUUUACCAGGAGCACAAGAACAGCUUCCCCUCGAUCACCAGUCGUCGUGUCUCCUGAAUUUUGAUCCUGCCCCGCCCCCCUCCCCCCUGACCUGUCAAUAUGUCUAUGCGGGAACCAAUUACAUUAAGGGAGAUCACCUACCUACCAGAGGAGAUAAACAUUUGGAUGUAUGCCAUAGUGGUCCUUGGGUCAGCCUUCCUGGUCUUCGUCGUCAUCUCCGUCUACCUCAUGUGGCGGUCCAUGCGGGGUGAGCGAGCGGACAUCAAACAGGAGACGUUGUGUGAGGCAGAGAAGGCCCUCAGCAGCAUCACCUCCCUCCACUCCUCCACCGAGCCCUAGGCCAGCCCUAUCUUCCUGGGGCAGCCCUACACCACUCUAGCCUCCCCUCUGAGGACCCUCCGAGCUACCCCGUCAGCACCUGCAACAAGCCACACCUGAUCAAACUCCACACCACCACCACACCCUUACGCCGACCCACACACACCUCUCACCUCAUCACCACCACCAUGUGUGACGCCCAUCAUCCUCCCCUACACCACCAUUCAACAUACGUGAGUGAUGACGACGUGGAUGAUACUGAGUCUGCAGGAUACCACUUAAACCGGAAGGAUGUUGAUUUACCCCUCCGGAAGGAUCUGUUGUCUCCUGUGAAGCGGCGAGGUUACAGCAGAGAGGUCGUAGAGGUUGAAAUGAUGGCCUCUCACUCUGGGAAUUCUAUGCUCUGGACCUCUACCUCCGCUGCCUCUAUGCGCUCGGUUGGACGGAUGGAAGAUGCCGCUGUCUAACCUCAGCUGCGUGCGAGGUCCUCCCGCUUAGCGCCCCUAUGGUCAAUGUUGGGUUUUGACCACCAAA